GUUCGUUACGUAGGUGCGCGUGUGCCGCGGCGGUUCGUUACGUAGGUGCGCGUGUGCCGCGGCCGUUCGUUACGUAGGAGCGCGGGUGCUGUGGUGGUUUGCUGCACCUAUUAACCCAUCCUGAAGAGGAAGAGACCAAGUACUGUCUUCUAUGGGAGGGCAUGGCAGGAAGGCACCAUCUGAGCCCGGAAGUGGGUCCUCACCAGACACUGCCGUCACCUCCGCGCUGGACCUGCAGCCUCCAGAACUGUUUUGCCUGGCAUUCUGCAGAAGCAUUGCUGUAUCUUACCAGACAGGAAUACAGGCAAUGCUGUGAAGCGUCAGAGGGAAUUCCGUUGGUUACUUUCCCAUACGGUCUUGUUCAGCUGCUUGUUCUCAGAAAAGUGUGUUUGUUGGUGGAGGAGAAUGCGACCAAGGAGACCAUCCUUUUCAUGAAGGCACAAACGUGAAUACAUAUGUGACUUUUAAGCCUUUAAAUAAAAACCCAAAGCACAUUUAUGCCUGUCUUUAUUUCUAAGCAUUCUUCCCUUUUCUUGCUUUGGU
RNAcentral lists this long non-coding RNA (543 nucleotides) under Homo sapiens (human). Its description in RNAcentral is "HSALNT0344581". The record is from RNAcentral. Lineage: Eukaryota; Metazoa; Chordata; Mammalia; Primates; Hominidae.